Clupea harengus (Atlantic herring) is the source of this 2300-nucleotide long non-coding RNA. The record is from Ensembl. NCBI's taxonomy places the organism in Eukaryota, Metazoa, Chordata, Actinopteri, Clupeiformes, Clupeidae.
UAGUGUCUGACUGGGCACUCCCCAUAGUGGGCCAUACCAUUACUGUCUGACUGGGCACUCCCCAUAGUGGGCCAUACCAUUACUGUCUGACUGGGCACUCCCCAUAGUGGGCCAUACCAUUACUGUCUGACUGGGCACUCCCCAUAUGGGCCAUAGCAGAUACCGUUGACUGGUGUUGGCACUCAUACCCCAGUUUAAAAUGUUUUAUCAUGAAACAUUCCUGCUGGAGUUGAAAGAGCGUUAGCCCCCGGGCAGAGAGAGAGCUAUGCUGCUCUGUAAGAUCAUCCCUGAGAAAGCUCUUUAUGAAUGCAGGCUGGCAAGCCCUGUGCCUAACCCCCCGAGCCCCGACCCUGGCAUCAGGAGCAGACAUCUCUGUGUGUCUGCCAGCCCCAACCUCAAGGCUGACUGCCCCCCCCCCCCCCCCCUCGAGCAGGCUGGGGCAAGACCGAUUAAAUGCCCCUCUGUGGCCCCGGGAUCCCGAUCAGCACGGAGAGCUGGCUGUGAUGCAGGCAGUCAGUCAGUGAGGUUGUUAACUUCCACAGCCAACAUCCCAUAAUGCCAAGAGCUGGGGCUGGGCGCCACCAGAGGACUCACCAACUGUUCCUGAUUGGCAGCCUGUUCUGCGCCAAGAUGUGUGCUAGACAUGUUCAUCAGUGUUCAACAGACACUUGGACACGCUGCCCCUGUGCUGUGGUGUUGUAGGUGUUUAAAGCAUGUUUAUUUAUGUGUUCUGUCUCUUUUUUGGUUGGUUGGUUUGUUUAUGUGGCAGCCAUUUCACGUUCAAGUUGAUUUGUGGUUUUACUAUUCUGAAAUGUCUUUGUUGUGAUAAGAUACGUGGUUUAACUGGCAAAGCAAGCCUCACCGCCAUCUGUGAACUGAAGCCAUGUUGGUCUUGCAUUGUUGCAAUAUGACCAUUCAGCUCGUUAUGUCAAGUGAUACGAUUAGAACACGUGAAGACUAAACAGCAUUGUCUCUAGUUCUGUUGCAUAAGAUUCCCCAGUUGUGUUGCGCCAGACAUUGACGUUGUCCUCAGCCUGUUGGCGCCUCCUCAGCCUUUCUUUAGUUGUGCUCUGUCCUCCUAAGGCAGCAGGGUAACAGAUUUACCCGUGUGAUUGAAUAGUGAGUGCAGGUGGAUUUGUAAUUUUGCACUGGUCUCGAUGUACCGGUCUUUGGUAAAUGAGAUCGCUAAUGGUUUCUGUCAGCUUUGUUAGCGCCUCGUGAGCCCGCUGUGCAUUGUGUCUGCGCGCGCUGUCACUCUGCUAAACGGUUGAACGGGCUCCACUGCAGAGCAGACCGCGCGCGUGCGCGUGUGUGUGCGUGUGUUAUCCUCUGGAGAGGGAUGUUUAGCAUAACACAGCUCUAUGUCUCACUAAGCGCAGUUUUAUCUACUCUUUAACACUUGAAGUCUUCCAAUGAUUUAAUCAAAAGUGAUGGAUUUUAUUUUAAAGUUGGACUUACUGGGUUAGUUAUCCAUUCGGCCACACUGCUUAGAUGCUUAGAGUAGAGCCAGUUAUAUAGGAAUAGAUUUGUUUUAUUAUUUUUACUCUUCGACAUUUGUUCAAGUGUGAAGAUGCAAUGAGAUUUCAGUGAUUGGGUGAAUUUAAGGUGACCGACGGCAUGAUGUGACAGAAUAGUGUUAGAAUCAGUGUUUUGUGAAUUGCUACAUUGAUGUUUUGAGAGUAAAACAGAUGACUUGAACUUUUGAUUUUCAAAAAUGUAAUUUAAUAGACCUUGUGUGCCAUGCCCUUAUCUUGCUUGCAUUUUCUUCAAGACUUGUGAAUGGCGAUGAAGCUCAAAGAUUUAACUCUGUAUUUUCAUGGACUUUGUAGUCUUUAGACUCAUAUUUAUACAUUGUAAAUUAAAAAAAAAAUAUAAUAAAAAGUUUUGCUGAACCGUUGAUUCUUUGACCCAACACAUCCUACACAAUUGUGAUACAGCAAAUCAAACAAAAUAUCACUGAUGUUAAGACUUUUUGUGACUUUAGGCCAACUCCUGGAUAAGCUAUUGCACUGUAAUAAAUAACUUUAUGUCGGCCUGUUGUGUUGCCCCACUGAAUUGAUAAAUGACUGCGGUAGCCCUCGUGCAGUUCCCAUGUGCGACCACUGGGAGGCGUUCUGAGCCCGCGGGACACAGCGCCCCUUUGGUAAUAGCCUACUGUUAAGGUACACUGCGCUCAGGCUAGUUAGACCAGCUUUACCGUCCUCGUGUGGCGUUUUACCAUAGUAGACGGGACAGAUGUCCUAUCCACCAUCUAGCGCAUACAUAAUACAUAUACAAGCCACUCCUACCUACCCACGCAC